CACAUAAAUUGCAAGAAAAAUAAAAAACUAGCUUUAAGAUUUCCACCCUCUUUAUAUAUUGUGCAAGUUUUUGUACCAACUUAUUAUUCCUCACCAAUAUUAUAGUUAUUAAAUUUUUUGUAGCUUCUUCAUAUUUUAAUUUUAGUCACAAGGACAAAAUGGAUGCACCUCCUAUGUACCAAGAGAUAAAUUACAUGGAACAUGUUCGCAAACGCCAUGAAGAAAAAGGGUGCCUUUAUGCUUGCUUCUUUGCCUUAUGUUGCUGCUUUUGUUGCUAUGAGACAUGUGAAUGUUGCUUGGAUGUGGCAUGUUGCUGCUGCUCCUAGAAGGAUAAAAAUAUAAUGGUAAAAAAAUAUAAUCAGUCAUAUGAUACAAAUUUAAUAGUGGUAUUUUGUAUGCAAAUUUCUAUGUAAUAAUCACAAACAAAGAUGUAACAUUUUCAGUAUGUUACUUUUUGACUUAUGGUCCUGAUUUCCUUUCUUUGUAAACAUACUUUAUUUAUGCUGAAGGAGGCAUAGGCCUAACUGGCCCCCUUUUUCACCUUGAAA
Long non-coding RNA from Medicago truncatula (barrel medic), 548 nucleotides. RefSeq lists it as uncharacterized. The record is from RefSeq and is a predicted model, not a curated record. The transcript has 2 exons. Lineage: Eukaryota; Viridiplantae; Streptophyta; Magnoliopsida; Fabales; Fabaceae.